This 428-nucleotide ribosomal RNA is filed under the name uncultured bacterium. RNAcentral's name for it is "bacterial SSU rRNA". It matches the Rfam family "Bacterial small subunit ribosomal RNA", at positions 355 to 774 of the family's 1533-position model. The record is from RNAcentral.
UGGGGAAUCUUCCGCAAUGGACGAAAGUCUGACGGAGCAACGCCGCGUGUAUGAUGAAGGUCUUCGGAUUGUAAAGUACUGUCAUUGGGGAAGAACGGUUUUCUUGAAAAGAUUGAGAAGACAUGACGGUACCCAAGGAGGAAGCCCCGGCUAACUACGUGCCAGCAGCCGCGGUAAUACGUAGGGGGCAAGCGUUGUCCGGAAUUAUUGGGCGUAAAGGGCGCGUAGGCGGGCCUUUAAGUCCGGUGUGAAAGAUCAGGGCUCAACCCUGAGAGUGCAUCGGAAACUGGAGGCCUUGAGGACAGGAGAGGACAGUGGAAUUCCACGUGUAGCGGUGAAAUGCGUAGAUAUGUGGAGGAACACCAGUGGCGAAGGCGACUUUCUGGACUGUAACUGACGCUGAGGCGCGAAAGCGUGGGGAGCAAACA